GAUGUGUCUGGCAGGCCAUACGGGACAUCUCAUCACAUUAUGGAAGACUUAUUCCAAAAUGAAACAACAGGUCUGAGGGAGACCUUGCUGUUCACUUCUUGCUCUCCGUGUUUCCUUUGAACCACAGGCAACUAGAACCUGAAUCCCCGGGACCUGGGCCACCUACGCUACUAUAGAACUGCACCGAACUGCGCUGCCUACUGCUGAACAACACGGAAGAGCUCCCAUCACCCCUAAAGUCGGACGUCUGUACAGCGGCCCGGCAUUUCAGCGACGGACUGCAUUCUGCCUGGCGUGUACGAAAUGGCUUGGAAACGGUGAGGCUCUAUCACCACGAGCCCGGCUUGUCAUCGUCAUGAGGUAUAAAUUCACAGGUUUUACAAAGGCCCACCAAGCACCCUACAAAAGAAAGGAGAUACUCAAGCUAAACAUUAUCAUUCUAAAAGGUAUUCAUAAACCAUUGGUGUUAUUCCUUUUCUAAUAAAACCCC
Molecule: long non-coding RNA, 490 nt
Filed under: Fukomys damarensis (Damara mole-rat)
Lineage: Eukaryota; Metazoa; Chordata; Mammalia; Rodentia; Bathyergidae
Description: lncRNA (ENSFDAG00000022219.1)
Source: RNAcentral